UGUCGUGAGAUGUUCGGUUAAGUCCGGCAACGAGCGCAACCCACAUCCUUAGUUGCCAGCAGUUCGGCUGGGCACUCUAAGGAAACUGCCCGUGAUAAGCGGGAGGAACGGUGGUGGAUGACGUCAAGUCCUCAUGGCCCUUACGGGUUGGGCUACACACGUGCUACAAUGGCAGUGACAAUGGGUUAAUACCCCAAAAGCUGUCUCAGUUCGGAUUGGGGUCUGCAACUCGACCCCAUGAAGUCGGAAUCGCUAGUAAUCGUGGAACAGCAUGCCACGGUGAAUACGUUCCCGGGCCUU
This 300-nucleotide ribosomal RNA is filed under the name uncultured bacterium. RNAcentral describes it as "bacterial SSU rRNA". It matches the Rfam family "Bacterial small subunit ribosomal RNA", at positions 1063 to 1382 of the family's 1533-position model. The record is from RNAcentral.